Molecule: unclassified non-coding RNA, 204 nt
Filed under: Hevea brasiliensis (rubber tree)
Lineage: Eukaryota; Viridiplantae; Streptophyta; Magnoliopsida; Malpighiales; Euphorbiaceae
Source: RNAcentral
UUUCAUGUACUGGAAAAAUCAACUCUGUUACGGCUUAAUAUCCAGUUGUCAUUCCAUCGAAAAGACAUUCUUCAAUGAGCCUCAAUUAUAACGGGUUCCUAUAUCUCUAACACAGCCCCUAGUGUGAAAUGCCCACUUGAUGUGAAUGCACGGACAAGUACAAGUCAAUCUCUAUCAUGUGUUGAUUAAUUAAUAAGAACAAAG